UGGGGAAUAUUGGACAAUGGGCGCAAGCCUGAUCCAGCCAUGCCGCGUGAGUGAUGAAGGCCUUAGGGUUGUAAAGCUCUUUCGCCGACGAAGAUAANGACGGUAGUCGGAGAAGAAGCCCCGGCUAACUUCGUGCCAGCAGCCGCGGUAAUACGAAGGGGGCUAGCGUUGUUCGGAAUCACUGGGCGUAAAGCGCACGUAGGCGGAUUGUUAAGUCAGGGGUGAAAGCCUGGAGCUCAACUCCAGAACUGCCCUUGAUACUGGCAAUCUCGAGUCCGGAAGAGGUAAGUGGAACUGCGAGUGUAGAGGUGAAAUUCGUAGAUAUUCGCAAGAACACCAGUGGCGAAGGCGGCUUACUGGUCCGGUACUGACGCUGAGGUGCGAAAGCGUGGGGAGCAAAACAGGAUUAGAUACCCUGGUAGUCCACGCCGUAAACGAUGGAGGCUAGCCGUUGGCGAGCAUGCUCGUCAGUGGCGCAGCUAACGCAUUAAGCCUCCCGCCUGGGGAGUACGGUCGCAAGAUUAAAACUCAAAGGAAUUGACGGGGUCAUAGCUGUUU
Molecule: ribosomal RNA, 558 nt
Filed under: uncultured bacterium
Lineage: Bacteria
Description: partial 16S ribosomal RNA
Rfam family: Bacterial small subunit ribosomal RNA
Source: RNAcentral